GCGUGCUAAUCUGCGAUAAGCGCCGGUAAGGUGAUAUGAACCGUUAUAACCGGCGAUACCCGAAUGGGGAAACCCAGUGUGAUUCGUCACACUAUCAUUAACUGAAUCCAUAGGUUAAUGAGGCGAACCGGGGGAACUGAAACAUCUAAGUACCCCGAGGAAAAGAAAUCAACCGAGAUUCCCCCAGUAGCGGCGAGCGAACGGGGAGGAGCCCAGAGCCUGAAUCAGCAUGUGUGUUAGUGGAAGCGUCUGGAAAGGCGCGCGAUACAGGGUGACAGCCCCGUACACAAAAGCGCAUGUGCUGUGAGCUCGAUGAGUAGGGCGGGACACGUGGUAUCCUGUCUGAAUAUGGGGGGACCAUCCUCCAAGGCUAAAUACUCCUGACUGACCGAUAGUGAACCAGUACCGUGAGGGAAAGGCGAAAAGAACCCCGGCGAGGGGAGUGAAAAAGAACCUGAAACCGUGUACGUACAAGCAGUGGGAGCACCCUUCGGGGUGUGACUGCGUACCUUUUGUAUAAUGGGUCAGCGACUUAUAUUCUGUAGCAAGGUUAACCGUAUAGGGGAGCCGGAGGGAAACCGAGUCUUAAUUGGGCGUUAAGUUGCAGGGUAUAGACCCGAAACCCGGUGAUCUAGCCAUGGGCAGGUUGAAGGUUGGGUAACACUAACUGGAGGACCGAACCGACUAAUGUUGAAAAAUUAGCGGAUGACCUGUGGCUGGGGGUGAAAGGCCAAUCAAACCGGGAGAUAGCUGGUUCUCCCCGAAAGCUAUUUAGGUAGCGCCUCGUGAAUUCAUCUCCGGGGGUAGAGCACUGUUUCGGCUAGGGGGCCAUCCCGGCUUACCAACCCGAUGCAAACUGCGAAUACCGGAGAAUGUUAUCACGGGAGACACACGGCGGGUGCUAACGUCCGUCGUGAAGAGGGAAACAACCCAGACCGCCAGCUAAGGUCCCAAAGUCAUGGUUAAGUGGGAAACGAUGUGGGAAGGCCCAGACAGCCAGGAUGUUGGCUUAGAAGCAGCCAUCAUUUAAAGAAAGCGUAAUAGCUCACUGGUCGAGUCGGCCUGCGCGGAAGAUGUAACGGGGCUAAACCAUGCACCGAAGCUGCGGCAGCGAACGUAUCACCCAAGACAACUUUACGGAGUUGACGAUUGACGGAGCGAAGCGACGUCAAAGCGUUCAUUAAAGUCGAGUUGGCUUAGGGAUACGUUCGUUGGGUAGGGGAGCGUUCUGUAAGCCUGUGAAGGUGUGUCGUGAGGCAUGCUGGAGGUAUCAGAAGUGCGAAUGCUGACAUAAGUAACGAUAAAGCGGGUGAAAAGCCCGCUCGCCGGAAGACCAAGGGUUCCUGUCCAACGUUAAUCGGGGCAGGGUGAGUCGACCCCUAAGGCGAGGCCGAAAGGCGUAGUCGAUGGGAAACGGGUUAAUAUUCCCGUACUUGGUGUUACUGCGAAGGGGGGACGGAGAAGGCUAUGUUGGCCGGGCGACGGUUGUCCCGGUUUAAGCGUGUAGGUGUGUGUUCCAGGUAAAUCCGGUUCACUUUAACACUGAGGCGUGACGACGAGGCACUACGGUGCUGAAGCAACAAAUGCCCUGCUUCCAGGAAAAGCCUCUAAGCAUCAGGUAACAUCAAAUCGUACCCCAAACCGACACAGGUGGUCAGGUAGAGAAUACCAAGGCGCUUGAGAGAACUCGGGUGAAGGAACUAGGCAAAAUGGUGCCGUAACUUCGGGAGAAGGCACGCUGACACGUAGGUGAAGUGAUUUACUCAUGGAGCUGAAGUCAGUCGAAGAUACCAGCUGGCUGCAACUGUUUAUUAAAAACACAGCACUGUGCAAACACGAAAGUGGACGUAUACGGUGUGACGCCUGCCCGGUGCCGGAAGGUUAAUUGAUGGGGUCAGCGCAAGCGAAGCUCCUGAUCGAAGCCCCGGUAAACGGCGGCCGUAACUAUAACGGUCCUAAGGUAGCGAAAUUCCUUGUCGGGUAAGUUCCGACCUGCACGAAUGGCGUAAUGAUGGCCAGGCUGUCUCCACCCGAGACUCAGUGAAAUUGAACUCGCUGUGAAGAUGCAGUGUACCCGCGGCAAGACGGAAAGACCCCGUGAACCUUUACUAUAGCUUGACACUGAACAUUGAGCCUUGAUGUGUAGGAUAGGUGGGAGGCUUUGAAGUGUGGACGCCAGUCUGCAUGGAGCCGACCUUGAAAUACCACCCUUUAAUGUUUGAUGUUCUAACGUGGACCCGUAAUCCGGGUUGCGGACAGUGUCUGGUGGGUAGUUUGACUGGGGCGGUCUCCUCCUAAAGAGUAACGGAGGAGCACGAAGGUUGGCUAAUCCUGGUCGGACAUCAGGAGGUUAGUGCAAUGGCAUAAGCCAGCUUGACUGCGAGCGUGACGGCGCGAGCAGGUGCGAAAGCAGGUCAUAGUGAUCCGGUGGUUCUGAAUGGAAGGGCCAUCGCUCAACGGAUAAAAGGUACUCCGGGGAUAACAGGCUGAUACCGCCCAAGAGUUCAUAUCGACGGCGGUGUUUGGCACCUCGAUGUCGGCUCAUCACAUCCUGGGGCUGAAGUAGGUCCCAAGGGUAUGGCUGUUCGCCAUUUAAAGUGGUACGCGAGCUGGGUUUAGAACGUCGUGAGACAGUUCGGUCCCUAUCUGCCGUGGGCGCUGGAGAACUGAGGGGGGCUGCUCCUAGUACGAGAGGACCGGAGUGGACGCAUCACUGGUGUUCGGGUUGUCAUGCCAAUGGCACUGCCCGGUAGCUAAAUGCGGAAGAGAUAAGUGCUGAAAGCAUCUAAGCACGAAACUUGCCCCGAGAUGAGUUCUCCCUGAGACUUAGAGUCUCCUGAAGGAACGUUGAAGACGACGACGUUGAUAGGCCGGGUGUGUAAGCGCAGCGAUGCGUUGAGCUAACCGGUACUAAUGAACCGUGAGGCUUAACCUUACA
This 2938-nucleotide ribosomal RNA is filed under the name Salmonella enterica subsp. enterica. RNAcentral's name for it is "partial 23S ribosomal RNA". It matches the Rfam family "Bacterial large subunit ribosomal RNA". The record is from RNAcentral. Lineage: Bacteria; Pseudomonadati; Pseudomonadota; Gammaproteobacteria; Enterobacterales; Enterobacteriaceae.